RNAcentral lists this ribosomal RNA (468 nucleotides) under uncultured bacterium. RNAcentral's name for it is "partial 16S ribosomal RNA". It matches the Rfam family "Bacterial small subunit ribosomal RNA", at positions 28 to 507 of the family's 1533-position model. The record is from RNAcentral.
GACGAACGCUGGCGGCGUGCUUAACACAUGCAAGUCGAACGGAAAGGCCCUGCUUUUGUGGGGUGCUCGAGUUGCGAACGGGUGAGUAACACGUGAGUAACCUGCCCUUGACGUUGGGAUAACUUCAGGAAACUGGGGCUAAUACCGGAUAUGAGCGCCUGCUGCAUGGUGGGGGUUGGAAAGUUUCGGCGGUUGGGGAUGGACUCGCGGCUUAUCAGCCUGUUGGUGGGGUAGUGGCUUACCAAGGCUUUGACGGGUAGCCGGCCUGAGAGGGUGACCGGACACAUUGGGACUGAGAUACGGCCCAGACUCAUACGGGAGGCAGGAGUGGGGAAUAGUGCACAAUGGGCGGAAGCCUGAUGCAGCAAUGCCGCGUGCGGGAUGACGGCCUUCGGGUUGUAACCCGCUUUCGCCUGUGACGAAGCGUGAGUGACGGUAAUGGGUAAAGAAGCACCGGCUAACUACGUG